GACAAUAAAAGGGUUGCUGACGAGGACGCUGGAGACGAGGUUCAGAAUAUGGAGGAGUUAGAAUUACUUCAGCGAUUACAACUAGGAGAGGAUAGUGAUGAUGACAUUCCUACUUUGGAGCAUGGGCAUGAUUAUAUCGACACGUGUGAUAGUGAUGAUAAGACUUAUGAUCCAUCUAAUCCCGAUCAUGAUGAUUAUUUCUAAUACAUGUAUGAGCCGUACUAAUUUAUUUAUUAUUUGUGAUACCAAGUUAUUUUUGAAGUAUGUUUAGUUUAUUUUGCAUAUUUUACUAAGUAUGUUUUGUUUAUCUGUGCUGAUUGGUUUACUCUUUUUAAUU
RNAcentral lists this long non-coding RNA (337 nucleotides) under Setaria viridis. Its description in RNAcentral is "long non-coding RNA (SVIR_LNC001579)". The record is from RNAcentral. Lineage: Eukaryota; Viridiplantae; Streptophyta; Magnoliopsida; Poales; Poaceae.